GGGCAGUAGGAAGGUACUGGGACAGAAGGUGCCUGCCUUGCUGUCAGCGGAAUGGAAAAUCUCAAACCAAGUGCUCAAAGAUGUGUUCUAAUUAUUAUCACUUCUGAUUCUUUGCCUUAACCUUUGAGAGAUUAUUGGACCAAAAGACCUCAGAUCUUAAAUUCUCCCCCUGAUAAAUUUUGAAGAACAAACACUUUGAAAGAUCACACUUAAAGGAAUUCUGUGGUCCUUUAGAAAGGCUCCGCUGAAAACUUCAACCUGACUUUGAUCAUUCCUUUGCCAACUCAGAGCGAUGGACACAUUCCCUCCCUCACUGAUUUCAAUAAGAAAAGAAGUAUAAACAAAGAGAAAGUCAACUCCACAAUCUCGAGAACUCCCUACAUCCUGCGGGAGAGAGGCGAGGGAGAGGACUCAGAAGAGGCUGCGAAGGCAUCGAGUUCCAGAGGCCUCGGCCGCUUCAAGUCUUCGGGUGUUACUGUCUCUUUAAGGAGGCUGAGCUCUACACAGUGAAGUAGAAGUUCCGCCCCCCACCUCUCUGGUUUCCGGUAGUACUCGGAGGGACCGGAACCUACGUGGAGCAUCUGAGGCUCCAUCCUUCACUGGGGGCUGGACACUGAGCACCCCCCGCCUCCCCGCCCGGCCCCCCAGACUUCUGCAAAUUUGCUUCCUAAUAUUUGGAAGAAGACCCACGGGCUGAAUGGCAGCUGUAGAUGACUUGCAGUUUGAAGAAUUUGGUGAUGUAGCCACUUCUCUAGCGACAAAUGCAGAUGCCACCACGAUAAGCAUUGAGGGUCCUGGGGAAACUCCCAGACAUCAGCCAGGACCCCCAAGAAGCUCUGGGAGAGAAGAGGAUGAUGAACUACUGGGAAACGAUGAGUCUGACAAAACUGAGUUACUUGCUGGACAGAAGAAAAGCUCCCCUUUCUGGACCUUUGAAUACUAUCAAACAUUUUUCGACGUGGACACGUACCAGGUCUUUGACAGAAUAAAAGGGUCUCUUUUGCCAAUACCAGGAAAAAACUUCGUGAGGUUAUAUAUCCGCAGCAACCCAGAUCUCUACGGCCCCUUUUGGAUAUGCGCCACGCUGGUCUUUGUCAUCGCCAUCAGUGGGAAUCUCUCCAACUUCUUAAUCCAUCUGGGAGAGAAGACGUACCAUUAUGUACCCGAAUUCCGGAAAGUGUCCAUGGCAGCCACAGUCAUCUAUGCCUACGCCUGGCUGGUCCCUCUUGCACUCUGGGGCUUCCUCCUGUGGAGAAACAGCAAAGUCAUGAACAUCGUUUCCUAUUCGUUUCUGGAGAUCGUGUGCGUCUACGGAUACUCGCUCUUCAUUUACAUCCCCACGGCAGUACUGUGGAUUAUCCCCCAGAAGGCCAUUCGCUGGAUCCUCGUCAUGAUGGCCCUGGGCAUCUCAGGCUCUGUCUUGGCAAUGACGUUUUGGCCAGCUGUUCGGGAGGAUAGCCGGCGUGUUGCAUUGGCCACCAUCGUGACGAUUGUGUUGCUGCACAUGCUGCUUUCUGUGGGCUGCUUGGCGUACUUUUUUGAUGCACCAGAGGUGGAACAUCUCCCAACAACUACAGUUGUUCCAAACCAGACAGUGAUAGCAGCCAAGUCCAGCUAAAGAAGAAAUUUCCCUGUGACUUUUCCACCUGGCCUCAGGCUCUGAAUGUGACCUCUCUUAAAUUACCCAUGACUUCUCUAAAGCUUACAAAUGCCUGUCUGGUUCUUUCCGACACCAAAGGCAACAGGAAAACUGACAGAAUGGCACGAACCCCCUACAAUCCAGUCUGUCUGGUGCCACACUGAAGCCUGAUUGCCCGUUUACCAAACAGAAAUUAAACGUUGUUCAGCACAUGUGUCUUUCAGCUCUUCUGUCUUGACCGUCCACGGUUGUUGUGACCGCGCACUGAUUUGGAGUGAAAUGUGAGGGCGUGGGCUGGGCGGGCUCAGGCGCCUUCACCUCUCCAGCCUCGUGAUGUGCUUCACCCUCAGUACGUCCUUCAUUCCUGAAGUGGAUCCAUCCCAACUUCCCAUGUCUUUUCUCUGAACUGUGUACAGAUUUCCUCCUCUCCCCGAAUGCUUGCCACCCUAAAGUGGCCAAACAGCAUGAACUUCGGUUGUGAUUUAUUAGGCACCUGAAAACUUGUCUUUGGUGACCUGGCAUUGGGUGACUGAACCUAAUGGUUGCAAAAUAAAUACCUCACCCAACAGCUGUGUCUGCACU
Molecule: RNA transcript, 2221 nt
Organism: Artibeus jamaicensis (Jamaican fruit-eating bat)
Lineage: Eukaryota; Metazoa; Chordata; Mammalia; Chiroptera; Phyllostomidae
Gene: YIPF1
Gene name: Yip1 domain family member 1
Exons: 13
Source: RefSeq, a predicted model, not a curated record